RNAcentral lists this ribosomal RNA (70 nucleotides) under Aeromonas veronii. RNAcentral's name for it is "partial 16S ribosomal RNA". It matches the Rfam family "Bacterial small subunit ribosomal RNA", at positions 1470 to 1533 of the family's 1533-position model. The record is from RNAcentral. Lineage: Bacteria; Pseudomonadati; Pseudomonadota; Gammaproteobacteria; Aeromonadales; Aeromonadaceae.
CAUGACUGGGGUGAAGUCGUAACAAGGUAACCCUAGGGGAACCUGGGGUUGGAUCACCUCCUUACCUUAA